This 214-nucleotide ribosomal RNA is filed under the name uncultured bacterium. Its description in RNAcentral is "partial 16S ribosomal RNA". It matches the Rfam family "Bacterial small subunit ribosomal RNA", at positions 29 to 235 of the family's 1533-position model. The record is from RNAcentral.
AACGAACGCUGGCGGCGGGCCUCAUACAUGCAAGUCGAGCGCGAAAGUCCGCAAGGAUGAGUAAAGCGGCGCACGGGUGAGUAACACGUGGGUAAUCUACCUUUUGGAUUGGAAUAACCUGUCGAAAGACGGGCUAAUGCCGAGUAAGCUCUCUUGAACGUGGAGUUCGAGCGAGGAAAGAUGGCGCAAGCUAUCGCCGAAAGAUGAGCCUGCG